GACAACUGGAUCUGAAGCGUAAUGAUGGUCUUCAGAAGGCCUCUCAUGGUGGUCUUGAUUCAGAGGUUUGAGAAGACUACCAAGCACCAGAGCCAGCUAACAGGUGGACCAAACAUCAAGCCAGAAUUCUGCAUGAGUCAGAAUUUAUGUCUUUUGAUAUUAUUGCCUAAUGCAACAAAUGGAAAAAAGCAUACUUUAUGACAACCUUAGCAGCAGAACACCAUGACUUUCUCCUGGGUAGACGAGAAAAAAAGUUUGGUAUCAACACCCAUCUAACAAUUAAGGUAAAAGAUAAAGUUUUAUGAUCCCUGCAUUCAGGUUAGAGUAUGGGGUAAGUUGACCGUUCUAUGGGUGUUUCUCAAAUGCAAGGUUGCAUCCUAUGGAGGCUGCGUCCAUCUUAGACCUGUCCUUCUGAGAUUUCGAGGUUAGAAUCCACCUCAAAAGCCAGAAUGAGAUGGUUUAGUUUGAUGUCCAAGGCAAUGUCAUAAUGGUUUCCGCCCCAGUGGUCAUGGCAUGAAAACUUUAAAGAGAGAAGUUGAAAAUUAGCAAUGCAUCACCAAAAAAAAAUCCAAUACUGUAGUACAGUGAAUAAAAGUCAUGUAUCAACAGUCUUUACAACAUGGACAGUUAAACCUUUUGUAAUUUAAUUAAAACAACAAAAGAGAAAACAAGCAGAUUGAGAUGUCCUUCAACGAUGCUUGAUGACGUGGCAGCCGAGACAUGCAGCAUUCUAGGACGCAGCCUUAUUAAAAAAAAAAAAAAUGGACGCAGCCUUAUUUAUUUUUAUUUUAUAUAUGUAUAAUGUACCCCCUGACUGAACUUGUAUUUCUUAUUAUUUUAAAAAAAUAUAUUAAAAAUAUUUUUAAAAGAACGCAGCUGUGCGUUUGAGAAACGACCGGAAACGACUUAUAUGUCGCGAGGCCAUCACGUGACCACAAUAUUUACCAGAAGACCGUUAUUUGCUCGAGUUCCCUCAACUUUUUUGUCGCAAAUAACAUUAUUAAUAACCUGUAAAUAAUAAAAUUUGUACACAUUACGUUCCUUUUCACGUUGUAAUAGUAUGUUUUUGGUUUAAUAGUCGGCUUUAAGUUAGUUUUUCUGUCAGUUUGAUCGUCAAAAUCUUGAAAGUUAUCUACAGCCACACAUCCACUGUAUACCAAGUUAUGAUGAUCAAUUAUGAGAAUGCAAAAUGAUUUAUAGAUCAGUAAACAAUCAACAAAAAGGUAAUGUCUUAAUUAAUAUAUUUCUGCUUUUGUUACUUAUUCAUGUAUUUGAAUUACAUCAUUCAAAAUCAAAUGUUAAUAAUUAUAGGGUUUCAACUUGUUGCAGCUUUACAAAAAAUGUAGAAUUUGUAGGAGCAUGGACAACUGAGUAACAAAGUCAUAUUAUGCAGAUGGGUGCUCAUGGUGGCCUCCAAAUAAAUACAUGGACAGGCUGCUAAAGAGGGUCAGGAUGAUGGAGAUGCAAGAGCCAAAGACAGCACGGACCAAACACCAGGCCAGAAUUCUGCAUGAGUCAGCUGUAAAAAACAAAAGAAUGAAACAGUACCUGCAUUUUAGUUUCCAGCCUUUUUCACAAAGUUGCCGACAACUGGAAGAAUGUCCCAAAUUGCUGAAAAAAGAAAUUCAGUAAGUCCUUAUAAAAGAGACAGUUUAAAAGAUUGAGUAAUUUUCACUCUAGAGACCCUGGGGUGACCAACAAGGACGAAUGAAAACUCCAGUGAGUGUCUCUAAGGUAGAUCCUAAUGCAGAUGGAUGGAAUGUUGAUCCGCCUAACAUGCAAGAUUUUCUGCACCGAGAACUUUGGAUGACCAUCAAGACAAGCACUCGUUUUGAGUCCUGAGACCCUGGGGUGACCACCGUGAACAAAUACAGACUGCAAAAAGGCAGUCUUGACGGUUCUAGGAUGAAUGCAAAUAAAGACUGACCACCUGACUUCAGCGGUCCAGUCUCUUGUGGGAAGCAGGUGUUUGUUACCUUAAAUACGGAUGAAGAGUGACGAAGAGGAUGAUGACUU
Molecule: non-coding RNA, 2016 nt
Organism: Misgurnus anguillicaudatus (oriental weatherfish)
Lineage: Eukaryota; Metazoa; Chordata; Actinopteri; Cypriniformes; Cobitidae
Source: RefSeq, a predicted model, not a curated record